AGUGGGGAAUAUUGGACAAUGGGGGCAACCCUGAUCCAGCGACGCCGCGUGUGUGAAGAAGGCCUGCGGGUUGUAAAGCACUUUUAGUGGGGAUGAAAAGCACAUCACUAACACUGGUGUGUCUUGACCUAACCCAAAGAAAAAGCACCGGCUAACUCUGUGCCAGCAGCCGCGGUAAUACAGAGGGUGCGAGCGUUAAUCGGAAUUACUGGGCGUAAAGCGUGCGUAGACGGCUAUCUAAGUCGGGUGUGAAAGCCCCGGGCUCAACCUGGGAAUUGCAUUCGAGACUGAAUAGCUAGGGUACGGUAGAGGGAAGCGGAAUUUCCGGUGUAGCGGUGAAAUGCGUAGAUAUCGGAAGGAACAUCAGUGGCGAAAGCGGCUUCCUGGACCAGUACCGACGUUCAGGCACGAAAGCGUGGGGAGCAAACAGGAUUAGAUACCCUGGUAGUCCACGCCAUAAACGAUGAGGACUAGACGUUGGAGGGGUAAGCCUUUCAGUGUCGUAGCUAA
This 510-nucleotide ribosomal RNA is filed under the name uncultured bacterium. RNAcentral's name for it is "bacterial SSU rRNA". It matches the Rfam family "Bacterial small subunit ribosomal RNA", at positions 353 to 855 of the family's 1533-position model. The record is from RNAcentral.